RNAcentral lists this small RNA (697 nucleotides) under Bos taurus (domestic cattle). The record is from RNAcentral. Lineage: Eukaryota; Metazoa; Chordata; Mammalia; Artiodactyla; Bovidae.
UGUUCUUCCCUAGCACUGCGAUUCUUCUGGACUUUUAGGGUGGGUUGUUGGAGCUGGGGCUCCUGCAGGAGGCAGAAACACUGGGGAACAAGGAUUCCAUUCCCAGAGGAGAAGACACUCUCAAUCUCAACUCUUGGUCUGUGGUGACUGGGCCCAGCAAUGAUCAGGUGGCAGAUGAACGCAGUAGCUUCGACCUUCACUUGUCCACUACCUUUAUAUGCGUGGGUCAGCCUUUCAGUGUCAACUACAGUACUUGGUUGAUCAAGAGAUUUCUUGGUUAUGACAUUGCUCAGGAGAAGCUACCCAGCAAUGGAGAGAGGGUAGCUGCAGUCUUGAGACCUGAAGACAGCUUAUACAAAGAGAUAUUUGCCCUACCCACAGCCACCUACCUACAGCGGGACACAGUGGAUCAGGAGCUGUGACAGAGAGAAGCAAGAAGCUGGAAUCCAGGAGUGGCCUGAGAACAGGGGCAAUAUUGGAUGGGAUUCUGUGUGAUACCCUCAGAAAAAAAGCUGACCUCUCCUUAGGAGUCCCCUGGGCUAGCUUGGGCAUCCCCUGGCCGGGGCCUCAGUAUCCGAGCCGCGUGAGGGGGCGGUGCUGGAAGACACCCUCUCCCGGGACAGCUUGUGUCUCCCCAACCACCACUCUGAGCAUCUACUGCCCCAGGGAACCUCCAUCUUCACUGUGUGUGCUGACC